AACGAACGCUGGCGGCGUGCCUAACACAUGCAAGUCGAGCGAGAAAGCCCGCAAGGGUGAGUAAAGCGGCGCACGGGUGCGUAACACGUGAGUAAUCUGCCCUGAAGUCCGGAAUAACUCGCCGAAAGGCGUGCUAAUGCCGGAUGAGACCACGGGAGCUUCGGCUCCUGCGGGAAAAGGUGGCCUCUGUACACAAGCUAUCGCUUCAGGAUGAGCUCGCGGCCCAUCAGCUCGUUGGCGGGGUAAUGGCCCACCAAGGCUACGACGGGUAGCUGGUCUGAGAGGACGAUCAGCCACACUGGAACUGAGACACGGUCCAGACUCCUACGGGAGGCAGCAGUGGGGAAUCUUGCGCAAUGGGCGAAAGCCUGACGCAGCAACGCCGCGUGUGUGAUGAAGGUCUUCGGAUCGUAAAGCACUGUCGCGAGGGACGAAUAAGGGGCGGGCUAACAUCCCGUUCCGAUGACGGUACCUCGAGAGGAAGCACCGGCUAACUCUGUGCCAGCAGCCGCGGUAAUACAGAGGGUGCAAGCGUUGUUCGGAAUUAUUGGGCGUAAAGCGCGUGUAGGCGGCUUUGUAAGUUGGGUGUGAAAGCCCUCGGCUUAACCGAGGAAGUGCGCCCAAAACUGCAUGGCUUGAGUACCGGAGAGGGUGGCGGAAUUCCCGGUGUAGAGGUGAAAUUCGUAGAUAUCGGGAGGAACACCAGCGGCGAAGGCGGCCACCUGGACGGAUACUGACGCUGAGACGCGAAAGCGUGGGGAGCAAACAGGAUUAGAUACCCUGGUAGUCCACGCCGUAAACGAUGAGCGCUAGGUGUUGUGGGUGUUGACCCCUGCAGUGCCGCAGCUAACGCAUUAAGCGCUCCGCCUGGGAAGUACGGCCGCAAGGCUAA
This 892-nucleotide ribosomal RNA is filed under the name uncultured Anaeromyxobacter sp. RNAcentral's name for it is "bacterial SSU rRNA". It matches the Rfam family "Bacterial small subunit ribosomal RNA", at positions 28 to 897 of the family's 1533-position model. The record is from RNAcentral. Lineage: Bacteria; Pseudomonadati; Myxococcota; Myxococcia; Myxococcales; Anaeromyxobacteraceae.